This 2487-nucleotide long non-coding RNA is filed under the name Mus musculus (house mouse). RNAcentral's name for it is "long non-coding RNA chr14:47293611-47296098". The record is from RNAcentral. Lineage: Eukaryota; Metazoa; Chordata; Mammalia; Rodentia; Muridae.
UUUUUUAUUCUUUUCAAUUUUUAGGUAUUAACAACUGUUAAUAUUUUCAAAAUACUGCCAUAUGUGUAGCUUUGAAAUGUGUAUUAAAUGAGGACAAGAGAGCGACUUGUAUACUCUGAAAUGCUUUGUAUCUUUCCUUUGGUACUUACUACAAUAAAAAGAAAUUUGGAAAGUAGAGAUAUAUAAAGACUUGGGAAGAGAAUUAUUUAGUGUGAAGGAAAGAGAAGAGAGUAACAAAAAAUUAGGGAUUGGAAUGUAGAGAAAUUAUCACUGUGUUCUUGUGAUGAACAUCAGUAUUCAAAAGUAACUCAUAAAAAGUUUAAAAUAUAUUUGAGUUAAAUAGCUAAAAUGCAACUAAUUUAUGCUAAAUUAGCAUAAAUAAAAUUUAAGAAGUAUGCAAGGAAGUCUCAAUUAAAUGAAAAUGUUAAAACUCUUAACUUGAAUUGUGGAACAUUUGAAUAGUAUUAAUUCCAGUUGAAAGACUGUCUAGUGCAGGCCUUGAUGCCCACAGCUUUAAUCCCAGCACUGGGGACACAGAGGCAGCCGGGUCCCUCAGAGUUGGAUGCCAACCUGGUCUACAAAGUGAGUUUCAGGCCAGCCAGGGCUACACAGUGAGACCUGUCUCAAAACAAAACAAAAGAAGGAAGAAAGAAAAGGAAUUGAAAGAAAAGCAGUUGGUAUGGGGGAACUGUGCAGAGUUUAUUUGUGAGACAGGAUGGAGCUAAAAGAAUCAAGAUAAAAUAUUAAAAUUAAGAAUUUAGGCAUUGCCUCAGGGAAAAGGCAGCGAGAGGGAACCACUUUAUUGCUAAUAGCUCGUCUGGAGCAGACGCCAGCUGCUCUGGGAGCCUCCAGCACAACCAGGAAGUGAACUUGACUUUCCAUUUCUCCUGGGGCUUUUUAGGACAGACCCUUCUGCUCUUUGUUAGACCUGCAUCUUGAGUCAUGCUACGAUUGCUAAAAUAUGCUGAAUGGAUUAUUUUUAAAAGUUUCUUUGGGUGUUUUUUCUAUGAAGAGUUAUAUGUGAUUUUUCUGAUAUAUAACUGUGUCAGUGGUCUAAAUAAUGAAUGGAGGGGAUAUGUUAAUUUAAAGGGGAUCUGAUAGGAACAUUAAAGGAAGCUUUUAGUCAGCCUGUGGCUAGAUUUAUUGAUUUGGUAAGCAAACCUGUAUUGUUUGCUGACUUUCAGCUAAUGGCUAACUCUGGUCAAAGAAUGGCUUUUGCUUAAGGUUUUGACUUAUUAUAAAUAAGAUUAAGAAUAUCUUAGUAAUUAGGAAUCCUUUAAAACAUAGAACAAAUGUGCAAAUAAGACUCAUCUUUUUAUAAGAAAAACACAUAAGCCUUUAUCACUUAUUCAUGAGCUAAAGCCAUUAAGAUAAAUCAAAUUAUCGACGUUCAAUCUCUGAACUUUGGAUCGUUUUCUAGAUCCAUAUAAUAGAGUACUUCUUUCCUGUGAAUCUGAUGCUUUGAGAUAGAUCUCUUACCCUCUUUUCAUUAAAAGUAUUUGUCAUUUUUAACUACAGUCACAAUCCAGUAGGCAACUAUAUUUUUAUUUUGGCAGAGCAAAUUUCAGAGUCCAUACUUAAUUAUAAGACAAUCCUGAAGACAAAACAAUGUUUAAAAUAGCCUAUUUAGCCAGGUGUAGUGGUACAGGCCUCUAGUCCCAUCACUUGGGACUAGAUUUCUGUGAGUUCCAGGCCAUUGUUACAUCCUGUCUUGAGAAAAGAAGACGAUGAAGACAUGUAAAGUAAUGGCUAUCUAGUGGAAAAGGCUUUAGGACAAAACUAACUUCAAGACAGUGUGUCUAUUUUGUAAUUUUGAAUGGAUUGCUCAAUCCUAAAUACUCCUUUGCCUUAAUUUCCUGUGAAAUGUAGGUAAUGGUCUUGGUCUCCUGAAUGUUCAGUAAAAGGUGUCCCUUGGAUCAUAGUUGAAAAUAAUAGUUGCUGAGUAGCUAUUCAGUACUAGUUGAGAAUGACACAUUUUUAAAGUAGCACCUUUGUGGGGCAUACAAAAUCAUAUUCACUUGUCUGUAAUAAGCUUUCUUGACUUGCUCUGAUAAUGGAGAUAAUAGAACAAUUUGGGUUUAUGGUUUAAACCCUACAAUUAGAUAAUUGGAGUUUCCUCCUGCCUUUCAGAAGAUCUGUGUAAACUGAUGUUGGCCUUAUUUGGAAAGAUAAUCACAUCUGCAGGAAAUAAAGAUCAUUUUACCAUGGUUAUAAAUCAAAUCUAAGCUAUCAGACUUAGGAGUCAUGAUGUAAAACUCAAGAAAGUUUAUUUAAAUUAUGCUGGCUUUGCUAGAAUUGGAUACAUUUGUAUGAGCCGAGUAUGAAAUAUAUACACUUGAAUAUCAGAGUUUAAUGAUUUCACAAAGCUAUGUUGUCAAUCAUGGUGUGUAACCCAUACUGUUUCUUUUCACUUUCUAAUCUUGACAAAUAUUUCUGUAGGUUUAAAAUUUUUGAUCUAAAUAAAUUUUCGCUUAAUAUAUUAAAUCC